Molecule: non-coding RNA, 106 nt
Organism: Tephrocybe rancida
Lineage: Eukaryota; Fungi; Basidiomycota; Agaricomycetes; Agaricales; Lyophyllaceae
Source: the annotation of a GenBank genome assembly
GCCACCGUAGCACAAUGGUUAGUGUGUUGCUUUCCUAUGAGUUGGGUUACUUGUAACUCAGCGAAAGGUUAGGCAGAGGCUGUGGGUUCGAGUCCCAUCGGUGGUU